RNAcentral lists this ribosomal RNA (465 nucleotides) under Vreelandella stevensii. RNAcentral's name for it is "partial 16S ribosomal RNA". It matches the Rfam family "Bacterial small subunit ribosomal RNA", at positions 338 to 795 of the family's 1533-position model. The record is from RNAcentral. Lineage: Bacteria; Pseudomonadati; Pseudomonadota; Gammaproteobacteria; Oceanospirillales; Halomonadaceae.
CCUACGGGAGGCAGCAGUGGGGAAUAUUGGACAAUGGGGGGAACCCUGAUCCAGCCAUGCCGCGUGUGUGAAGAAGGCCCUCGGGUUGUAAAGCACUUUCAGUGAGGAAGAACGCCUGGUGGUUAAUACCCAUCAGGAAAGACAUCACUCACAGAAGAAGCACCGGCUAACUCCGUGCCAGCAGCCGCGGUAAUACGGAGGGUGCGAGCGUUAAUCGGAAUUACUGGGCGUAAAGCGCGCGUAGGUGGCUUGAUAAGCCGGUUGUGAAAGUCCCGGGCUCAACCUGGGAACGGCAUCCGGAACUGUCAAGCUAGAGUGCAGGAGAGGAAGGUAGAAUUCCCGGUGUAGCGGUGAAAUGCGUAGAGAUCGGGAGGAAUACCAGUGGCGAAGGCGGCCUUCUGGACUGACACUGACACUGAGGUGCGAAAGCGUGGGUAGCAAACAGGAUUAGAUACCCCUGUAGUC